RNAcentral lists this long non-coding RNA (797 nucleotides) under Numida meleagris (helmeted guineafowl). RNAcentral's name for it is "lncRNA (ENSNMEG00000020983.1)". Lineage: Eukaryota; Metazoa; Chordata; Aves; Galliformes; Numididae. The record is from RNAcentral.
AUGUCGACAUUUGAAAAUAUUUAUUUGUUUGUUCGUUUUUUUAUUUUUUGCGCUCCGUGCCGCGGGACGCGAAGGGCGCGGAGGAAACGCAGCCCUCGCCUCGCCGUUUCCUCGAGAGAAAUUGCGGCGAGCACCGGGAGGAGUUCCCGAGGCCGGCCCCGCGGUGCCGUCCCGCUGCCGCCCGCAGCCUCGGGGCUUCCUGGCUGUAAGGCUCUGGCUAUUUGUUCUGGGGUACCGAGACGUUCACUCCGGACCGUGUCACGAAUCAGCUUCAGCCGCACCGCCGCGCGCGUAGCACCCCCGCCCCCCGUGACAGUGCUGAUGGGCCCGCUGGGAUGGACAAGUGUAGUUAAAGAAAUUAAUGUACUUCCCCGACCCUGGAUCCCGGUGCCCGUACGCGAGCGCGUUGCAGCGGACCGCCCGGCGCUGGCUUUGGGAGCAGCCCGAAGAGGAGACGCCCUUAGGACGGAUCGUAGAUGUCCAUCGCGAACCGCGCCCGGGCAGGCGGGGAGGUUCCGGCGGGCACAGCGUGGCUCGGCCGGGAGCGGCGCGGGGUGACGGGCCGAGAGCCCUGGGCACCCCGACGGGGCGGGCGGCCCUCGGCGUCACCGCGGCCUCUCCGGGGCUGAGCCCGUGGCCCCGGGUGGGCAGCGAGUGGAGGAACGUGUCCUCGGGCCAGGGGGGACGUGACACCGGCCGCCUGUCCUCCUGCCUCGCACUGCCCCGCAUCUUCCCGGCUCACAGCGCAUUGAGCCCAAUCGUUUUGAUCCCUGGCAAUAAAUUCAGGGCCUUCAGCA